CAUAGAUCGUCAUGCUUCUAUCGAUUUCUGUUGACAUGCGCGCUUGUCUUUGCUCACGGUGAUCAAGUUAAAAUUAGUGGCUGUCAACUCGCGUCGAGUCGUAAUUUGUCAUCGUUACAUUUCGACCGGGUAAAAUGGUAGUCCUUUAACCACCAAACCCAGUGGCCACCCUUCCAAUUUGGAAGGGGGAGAUGGGGUUCGAAUCUCUACCUUCUCCCUUCUCCGGGAGAUUGGAGCGGGGACAAUUUAGUUUCAGGAAUGGGAUUCGACUCCCACACUCUGGGCAGGGCAAGAGUUUGAGAGUAAGCAUUAGAGUAGUAGAGAUAGAGUAGAACUGGUAAAAAUGGAAAAUUGAUAGUCGUUUUCUAUAUGAGAGGCCGAAAUUUCUUGCGGACUGGGUAUGGAUUCGUAUACUGAGCAAAUUAAUCUGCAUCGAAUUUGCCAAACUGGAGGAGUCUUUGUUUUGAGUGGAGAUUCUAAUUUCAGGAGAUGCAAUUGGUAAUUGAUGAAUCCUAUGUUUUAUUUCUUUGUGCGAGCAUGCUUUACGUCCAUCUAGAUGGUGGGAUGCACACUCAAGUACACAUGUUGGUCUGCUCCCUUCUAUGGUUAAUUCCUGGAUUCAUUUGCCUUUCUAAUUGUGGAUUAACUUCCUUUCUGAUAUCAGGCGCUUCGUUACUUGUACAGCGCGUGACUAGGCCUAGAGGAGGGAUUAAUGAAUGGCUUCGUUGGAUCCCGGUUUCCUUCCAUAAAAAAAUUAAUUAUGUCGUGAAAAGAGUUUGGGGUGAUUCAAGGUUUCAAACGACGGUUGAGAGCAAUAAAGUCAGGCCUUUUUCAGCUGAAAAAAGUGGAUUAUUGGAAGCUGAUCCAAAACAGAUUGCAGUAAUGGCUCGUGAAUCAUUUGAAAAGGAGGGCCCACUGUUGGUGAUUGCAUCUGGGCGGGACACUAUUCCUGUUGCAAGCACAAUAAGAAGGUUGGCUCCGGAGAAUGUUUUUGUUAUUCAGAUACAACAUCCGAGGUCCCGUCUAGAUAGGUUUGAUUUGGUGAUUACUCCUCGUCAUGAUUAUUAUCCACAGACAGCUCACGCGCAAGGGCAAAUUCCUUGGCUUCUUCGAAGGUGGAUAACUCCACGUGAUCAUCCCGAUAGUCAUGUGAUUCUCACUGUGGGCGCCCUUCAUCAAGCUGAUUCUACUGCUCUUAAAAGUGCUACCUUCACCUGGCAUGAUGAGUUGGCAUAUCUUCCGAAGCCCUUGCUUGUGGUCAAUAUUGGCGGUCCCACAAGCAAUUGUCCCUAUGGUGAUGAUCUUGCAAAGGAGUUGAUAACUAAGCUGCAGAAUGUCAUGUGGAGCUGUGGAAGUCUCAGAAUAUCUUUCUCUAGGAGGACUCCUGUGAGGGUGUCCGAAAUGUUUGUUAAAGAAUUCAGGGCUAAUUCUAAAGUUCACAUUUGGGAUGGUGAAGGUCCAAACCCACACAUGGGACAUUUGGCUUGGGCUGAUGCUUUUGUUGUAACAGCUGAUUCUGUGAGCAUGUUGAGUGAGGUCUGCAGUACAGGGAAGCCAGUUUAUGUUGGUGGAGCUGAACGGUGUAAGUGGAAGUUUGCUGACUUCCAGAAUUCCUUGCAAGAACGAGGAGCAGUUCGAGCAUUCACUGGAAAGGAAGAUGGAGUCGCUGAAGAAAAUUUGCACACAAUAGAAACAUUUACAGAUAUGACAGAAUGAAACUUGCAAAUGGUAGCUGGGGAUGAACAUUGCUGGAAAAUAAGGUGACAAACAUUUGUUGGUGACUCUGGAUGAUAGAAGCAAAGGAGCAGGAACGAUGAAGACUGGAGCAAAACCUGCACAAUAAGAGGAAAAGACUCAUGACCAAGAGGAGAGAAAGAAAUGAAGACAAGUCAAUUCUCGGUUGAGAAGAUAGGUCUACAUUUCUCGGAAACUGAAAAGCUUGAGGAUAUCUGAGAUCUGGAGCUAUCCUCCACUUAAUGACACUGCCGAGUCUGCUGCUCAGGUGCAUGAAGCACUUGCCAAGCGCGGAUGGAAGAUAUGCACGUGAUGGGCCUUCUGCUGUUGAGCCAAUGUGGUCCUGUCACUCGCUUUGCUCUGGCACGUCUAGCAUGUCAUUAGGUUGGCCAGUACCCACUUGGUAACCUCGGUGAAGAUAGCUCCUGUUCGCUAAUGUUUCAAGGAGUCCAAUCUUAUUCUGUGGCUGUCCAUUUCUGCGGAGCACAACUUUAGGUUGUGCAUUUUUGGAGAAAGAAUAGCCAGUUGGCAAGUAAUCCAGCGUGUGAGAUAGAGGACGUUGCUUUUUUUUUUUUUUUUUUUUUUUUUUUUUCCGUUCUUUGUACUGUUUCUGGAUUCCCCCACUUCAUUAUAAGUUUAUUUGUACUGACGGGGAAAGCGGUUUCGGUCACAUUAUGCCUUUCCCAGCGAUGGGAGCUAUACUGUAUAAAGUUUCCCGCUUAUUUGAUCGAUAUGUGAGCAAAUUCUGAUAGCAAAAGCAGCAUCUAUGGAUUCAUGCUA
Molecule: RNA transcript, 2514 nt
Organism: Eucalyptus grandis
Lineage: Eukaryota; Viridiplantae; Streptophyta; Magnoliopsida; Myrtales; Myrtaceae
Gene name: mitochondrial fission protein ELM1
Exons: 11
Source: RefSeq, a predicted model, not a curated record